UGCCAGCCGCCGCGGUAACACGAACCGUACGAACGUUAUUCGGAAUCACUGGGCUUAAAGAGUUCGUAGGCGGCUUGGUAAGUAGGGUGUGAAAUCCCCCGGCUCAACCGGGGAACUGCGCUCUAAACUGGAUGGCUUGAGUAAGAUAGGGGUGUGCGGAACUUCCGGUGGAGCGGUGAAAUGUGUUGAUAUCGGAAGGAACACCAGUAGCGAAAGCGGCACACUGGGUCUUAACUGACGCUGAGGCACGAAAGCUAGGGUAGCGAACGGGAUUAGAUA
RNAcentral lists this ribosomal RNA (279 nucleotides) under uncultured bacterium. Its description in RNAcentral is "partial 16S ribosomal RNA". It matches the Rfam family "Bacterial small subunit ribosomal RNA", at positions 506 to 784 of the family's 1533-position model. The record is from RNAcentral.